RNAcentral lists this ribosomal RNA (465 nucleotides) under uncultured bacterium. RNAcentral describes it as "partial 16S ribosomal RNA". It matches the Rfam family "Bacterial small subunit ribosomal RNA", at positions 28 to 507 of the family's 1533-position model. The record is from RNAcentral.
GAUGAACGCUGGCGGCGUGCUUAACACAUGCAAGUCGAACGGAAAGGCUCCUGCUUGCAGGGGUACUCGAGUGGCGAACGGGUGAGUAACACGUGGGUGAUCUGCCCUGCACUUCGGGAUAAGCCUGGGAAACUGGGUCUAAUACCGGAUAGGACGAUGUUUUGGAUGCCAUUGUGGAAAGUUUUUCGGUGUGGGAUGAGCUCGCGGCCUAUCAGCUUGUUGUUGGGGUAAUGGCCUACCAAGGCGGCGACGGGUAGCCGGCCUGAGAGGGUGUCCGGCCACAUUGGGACUGAGAUACGGCCCAGACUCCUACGGGAGGCAGCAGUGGGGAAUAUUGCACAAUGGGCGCAAGCCUGAUGCAGCGACGCCGCGUGGGGGAUGACGGCCUUCGGGUUGUAAACUCCUUUCGCUAGGGACGAAGCGCAAGUGACGGUACCUGGAGAAGAAGCACCGGCUAACUACGUG